UACGUAGGGUGCAAGCGUUGUCCGGAAUUAUUGGGCGUAAAGAGCUCGUAGGCGGUUUGUCGCGACUGGUGUGAAAAUCCAGGGCUUAACCCUGGACCUGCAUCGGGUACGGGCAGACUAGAGUGCGGUAGGGGAGAUCGGAAUUCCUGGUGUAGCGGUGAAAUGCGCAGAUAUCAGGAGGAACACCAGUGGCGAAGGCGGAUCUCUGGGCCGUAACUGACGCUGAGGAGCGAAAGCAUGGGGAGCGAACAGG
RNAcentral lists this ribosomal RNA (253 nucleotides) under uncultured bacterium. RNAcentral's name for it is "partial 16S ribosomal RNA". It matches the Rfam family "Bacterial small subunit ribosomal RNA", at positions 524 to 776 of the family's 1533-position model. The record is from RNAcentral.